AUAAUAAAAUAAUAAUAAUAAUAGUAAUUAAUUAAUUAAUUAAUUAAAGAAUGGACGUCGAGUGACUGGACAUCCGACACUGUUAUAUUAUAUAUACACAUAUUAUAGACAUAUAUAUAUAUAUUAUAUAUAUAACUACACACACAAAUACACGCACGCACACACACAUACACAUCGCAUUUUAUAUGUAUACAUAUUCGUUCGUGUCACGAAAAAAAAAUCGUGAUUCGGAGAUAAAGAAAGAAUGAAGAGAACGAAUUGAAAUCGAACGCGAACAGACGGAUCGACGCUGGCGCCAUUUUGCUUAGUUAAUAAGAGAAAAAGAAAUGUUUAUUUUUCCUUUUCAUUUAAUUCUUCCUUAUCGAUUUAUUUAUUCCAAUACUCGUUGAUAAAAGUGUCUGCGAUAUCGUACGUAAUGAAAGAAAUAAAAAGAAAUAAUAAUGUCGAUCGUAUUAAAUUUAUGAUCGGUAUAUAGCUAUUCAACAUAUCAACACGAUUUUCAAUAUUACUACAUAGAUACGUAUCGAGGAGUAAAUUUUUCCAUAUUGAGAUUAAUAUAGGUCACUAGGGUUGAUUCAGAUUGAUCGAGAAUCCAUUCGGAGAAGUUUCAAUCAAAUACUUAGAUCGAAUCUCGAACGAGAAUUUUUUUCACGAGUUUACAAGUUACAAACCGUACGAUCAAACUUCGCGAAAUAAUAAUUCGCCGUGAAUAUAUGAGCUUCCCUGGAUCCUCCGUAAAAUUUUAGAUCCAUUGUGCGAGUAAUCCCAAACGUUGUACUAACAUAUGAGCUUAUGCAAAUAUGCUUUCCUCGUACGUGGAUGGCUAAUGCAAAUUUAGCAUUUUGAUUACCGACCCGUUCACGAAGAACGAUCAUUUUUGCAAAUGUAUCAGAGAUCAUAUUAUUAGGAUCUUUAAUGAUUUCGUAAAGCUCAAUUGAUUUAACCCGUAUAUCUCGUAAUAUUCCUUAUAUGAUAAAUUGAACUUUUUGAGAGAAAAGAAAAAGAGAGAGAAAUAGAGAAAAGAGAAAGUGAGAGAGAGAGAGAGAGAGAGAGAGAGAGAGAGAGAGAGAGAGAGAGAAAGGCUAUGAGAAAAUUAUUUUUGGAGGUAAAAUAAUUCGAUAAUAACCGUCAAACGAGUGACUGCUUCUCGUCAAUGUCAUUGGGCAUGAAAUAGUCGUAGUUAGUUACACGAUUUAUAGGCAAGUACGGGGGAAAGGCCUGUAAAUUAAUCGGCGCCUGUCGACCGAACGUCGUUUCUCGUUCGUGCCAAAUACGUAGUAUUUUUGGGGGAAUGAAAGGUCAUCGAUCCGAGCUCUGAUUAACGUGACAAAUUAUUCGACAUAUAUAUGUAUGCAUGUAUGUCUUUAUGUAUGUACGUAUGUACGUACGUAUGUAUGUAUGUAUAUAUCUCUUUGUGUAUAUCUCUGUGUGUACGAAAACGUAUCAAUCGGACGUCGGACGAUAUUAGCAUAAAAAAUUUAAUGAUUACUCGGAGAUUUGAAGUCAAAGUCGAAAGAACUCGGUUUACUCUUUCUAGAAUUCCAGAGCUGCCGGAUCGAUCGUGAAAGACCGAAUAAGGUAGGUAGGUAGGGAGAUAGGUUGGUACAUACUCUGGAUAGAUGGAUGCAAAAUACAGAACCCUUGUUCAUGGAGAUCAAAGGAACCGGUAAAAUAAGAAAGACGAAAGUGAAAAUUGAUAAGAAAAUUAUAAUAACUCGCAAAGGUUUCAUACGUUAUCCUCGCGAUUGGAUUUUCUUUUUUUCUUUUCUUUUACUUUUUUUCAUUGUUUUUCUUUUUUUUUUUUUCUUUUCUUUUUAUCCAAGAUUCUUCGUUUAUUGCGAAAACAAACGAAUUUAUAAUACGAGAUAUUACCGUAUAGAAGGAAAAUUGUUUGGAUUAUUUGAGAAUGAUGAAAAUUAAACAUCGAUCAUGUGCCUCGAAUUUAUUCGAUUAUAUUACUGGCGUUAUUUCGUUCUGGCCGGGAAGAAAAACCGUCGGGAAAUCGUACGAAAUCGUCGUUCGUAUCGACCAUGAGAAUGAAUCGUUAAGUAGACUCCACGACAAUGACGUACGGACCGUUAAAUCGGUCGGAUGUCCCGUUUUCCUCUCUCUCUCUCUCUCUCUCUCUCUUUCUAUUUUCGUACCGAAGACCCCACCACUGUUCCAUUUCUCACCCACCUCAAGCCCAUAUAAUACGAUAAUUUAACGGGAGGCAUUAUUGAACGUUGCAGCUGCAAAAUAUUUCAACGGGCUCGGGAAAGCCGUCGUGCAACAACCACAUCCGCCGGCAGCACUGGCAGUGUUCGUGAUAAAUUUAAUUAUUACGCCGCUCCACGGUUAUCCGCCGUGGUCGAAUAACGAAAAAUCGGACUUCUCGUUCUCUGAUUCUCGUCUCUCUUUCUAUCUUUGUUUCUCUUUAUCCGUAUCUCUUUAUCCGUCUCUUUGUCCGUCAUAUGUUUCUUUUUCUUUUUUCCUCCAUAAAUGAAACCAUCGUUUCGAAAGUUUAUAUUCGAUGUCAUAAAUUUUCAAUCUUAUCUCGAUUACAUGAAAAAAUUUCAAACUUUUCAUAACGACGCUUUCUCUUUGAUAAAUAUUAGAGUAAAAGAAAUGGCUUUCCCACGAUUAAAUGUUUUCUUUCCUCUUGAAACGAAAAUUGCAAGUCUCCCUCUCUCUCUGUAUUCUUAAAUAAAAUUUCUUUCGUCUAUGCCCGAGUUGAAAUAAUAAUUCUACACAAUUUUUCAUUCGAUAGAAGAGGACUGGGGUGAGGGAGGUGAUGAUAGAGAGAGAGAGAGAGAGAGAGAGAGAGAGAGAGAGAGAGAGAGAGAGAGAGAGAAGAGGAGAGAGGAAAAAGGUAAAUAUAAUAGAUAUAUACGAACGGUCCUAUUGUAUUUAAAAAAACUUGUUGAAAGGAGUAAAACGAAGGAUACUCCAAAUUCCUAUUGUUAUUCCAUCGAUUAAAACGAAAUAACCGAAUAAACGUAAAACAACGAUCCACUCGAGAGUAUUAAAUAUCACGAUUUUUUAUAACCACUUAACGGACUUUCGACAUCGCGCCGGCCAUCGAAAAUGUCGACGACUAAAAUUGUUUUUCUUUGGAGAGGUAAAAACGACGAGAGGUGAAAAUUUUCAAUUCAUGCUAUCACCAUAGUCAAAAGCGAUCGACGAGAUUGUAUCGCGAAGGAAGAGAAUCGUGAGGUGGAGAAUGAAGGGGAGUGAAGGUGGGGGUGGUAGCUAGGUAGAUAGGUAGAUAUCGCCAUUGAUACGAUAGCUCGAUAGUGUUGGAGAAAACGUAGAGACAAGUAGAAGAUAUGGCACGGCACGAUACGCGGACAACGACGCUCAUAACGAGUUAAUGGGGUUUUAUAGAAGCUACGAUGGAGGCGAUCGAGUUUAGAGAGCUGAAAUCCCGUUCGAGUUCUCUCCUUCUCUCUCUUACACACUCUCUCUGUCUCUCGCUAUGCUUCUAUAUUUCUCUUUAUCUAGAUGAUACAUAUAUAGACAGAGAUACAAUGACUCUCGAUUCGAUCGUGUUCUUCCUGCUCUUGCGAGAAUAGUCUUUGUUUACUCGUCGUUUCGUUUAUCUUCCCUGUUAUUUCCUUUCCUUACGACGUUACAGAGCGUAAAUAGUAUCGCCGGUAGGACGUUAAACUUCAUUCCAAUUUACGUUUAUCCUGGACGAACAGAUCGAACGAUAUAAAUUUAUCGAUCGAGUUUCGUUUAUCAAUGGAAGAAAAGAGAAGAAACGAUAAUAAUGAAAGACGAACUGUGACAACUUUACGAUAUUAAAUUGAUAGAAUCGAUUUUCUGAACGACUCUCGAUGUCUUGACUUCGGUUGUUUUUCUUUUUUUUUUUUCGUACGAAUAAAACGAAAUUUCGUACACACGCGUGCGCGUAAAAAUGAGUUCAUUGCUAAGUAAGUAAGUUUAAGAAUUGAAAGAUAUGGAAGAGAUUACGAGAAUAAGUACCUAUCGAUUAAACGAACAUUUCGUAGCGUCGUUGCGUCCGUGCGUUUGAUGAAAAAAAAAAAAAAAAAAAAUAGAAAAAGAAAAAACAACAAAAAAAAGAGCAAAAGAAAAAGAGACACAAAAAAAAGCAAAAUCAAGAGAAAAAGGAAGAACAAUACGAAAAUUCUGAUGAAAGAUGUAAAAUUUUUUUGGCAAUAUUAAAGUCGUUGAUCGAUAAUCAUACUUCGCGUCAUGCCCAUAGCAAUGUAUCCGUAAAAAUAAACGAUAAAAUGGACGAGUUGAGAUCUUCUAAUAAGGCAUUGUAAUUCGUUGGUACUAAUAACGAUCAUUAAGUGGCUAAGCUGGGCGAACAAUCGUGCGUAUGUAUGUAUAUGUGUGUGUGUGUGAAAGAGAGAAAGAGAGGGAGAAUAUGUUUUCGUGUGUAUAUGGUUACAAGUGUGUAUGAUCAUACGAAAGAGAGAACGUUCGAAUAAAAAGUUCGAUGGAAUGACAACGUGAAAGAUCAAGAGAACGAAAUAGAAAAUUCAUUUAAUGUCGAUAUUCGCUGUUCACUAUUUGUAAGAUUCGGGAGAAGAAUACAAUAAAAUUCAUAGUACUUAA
Molecule: long non-coding RNA, 4566 nt
Organism: Vespula pensylvanica (western yellowjacket)
Lineage: Eukaryota; Metazoa; Arthropoda; Insecta; Hymenoptera; Vespidae
Exons: 2
Source: RefSeq, a predicted model, not a curated record